Caretta caretta (loggerhead turtle) is the source of this 4767-nucleotide non-coding RNA. Lineage: Eukaryota; Metazoa; Chordata; Testudines; Cheloniidae. The record is from RefSeq and is a predicted model, not a curated record.
AAACUGAUUGAUGUGGCGUGUGCCUGGUGAGGAUGGAGAGACUUGUAAUUUCUGGGAAGUUGUGCUCUCUGGAUCAUUUUCUGAACAAGGGGACCAACAAAGGCAGGGAGUAAAUCUGUUUUCCAGUGACUAGCAGCCUGAUCUUUCUCCAUGGCAAAACUCCCACUGACAUCAGUUGAGCUGGAUCUACCAUGAUGAAGAGAAAGAGAGAGUCUACGGCAUGACUAGCAGUGAUACAAACUUUCCUGUUUAGCGAGAUGCCUCAUCCUUUUCUGAAAGGCUCCCGUGUCACGGAGUCACCGGGCGAUGCUCUGGAACUAUUCUCUACGAAGCCAGUCAGGAACUCUGGGGGAGCCUCCUCUUUGUGAGCAGACUGUCUCCAGGGCAAGAAGCUUACAUAGCUUUGACCUUCCUGGGGCUGACCUCGGAGCAUUCAGUAUCCACUUUCACAUCGUGCGCUUCCCACAGGGAGUCCGCACAGGCAGGGCUCCUGGGGAAGCCAGUGGGCCCUGCACCCAAGUUCUGCAGUCAGACGUGACUUUCAGCCAGCCAGUAAAACAGAAGGUUUAGUAGAUGACAGGAACAUGGUCUAAAACAGAGCUUGUAGGUAUAGAGAACAGGACGCCACAGUCAGGUCUGUCUUGGGGGGCAGGGAGGCCAGCGCCCCAUCUGGCCUCCCUCCAUUUCCCCAGCCAGCUCCCAACUGAAACUCUCCAGCCCCUCCUCUCCUUUAUCUCUUUCCUGGGCCAGGAGGCCACCUGAUCUCUUUGUUCUCCAACCCCUUCAGUUGGCACCUUUGCAGAGGAGGGGCCCAGGCCAUCAGUUGCCAGGAGACAGGGUGUCGGCCAUUCUUUGUGCAUCAUGCUGGCCCCCCAGGGCUCUGCCACAAUCACACAUCCUUAUCCCACCACCUAGAUGACUUAAGAAUUACAUAGGGGAAAAUGAGGCACCCACACAGUAUUCAGAGAAAACAUGAAGAACAUUCCCACUUCAUCACAUUCCCCCUCACUUUAAAGGUGUUAGAUUAACAUGCUUGUAAAGCCCUGCCAAGAUGCAGGCUAACGCAACUGAACUAAUAUCAUGGAAAAAAACACACAUUUUUUGUCCCUCAAGACAGGCCUUCUAUGUCCAGUUACACUAUAAUGGUCAUUGUGAUGUGUAUGGAGCUGCUGUGUGAUAACUUAUGAAUGCUGCAUGUUGACCUGGUAACUGGGAUGUUUGCACUAUGAAUAUAUUGGUACAGUUUAAUAGUGGGCUGAAAGGAAAAACAAGCAGGAAGGGGAGAAUAGGCCAAGAUAAACCAACCCUUAGCAUACACUUCAAGGUUCUGACUUGACCUCCUGCUCACAUCCCUGGACUGGUUUGGUUCAAAAGGGCACAAGCGCAGGAGCUGACAAGAACAAAUGGACUCUGACUAGGUUAAGAAUGGUUUGUUUUCUCUCUCUUUAAAGAAGAGAGAGUUAUUGAGGAGAUGUUCAGGCAGGAACCAGGCUGUGACAAAUGCACCUGCUGGGGCGUCUGAAGAAGCUAGGCCUGCACUGGUUAUCACAAGGGGAUGGUAAGCCUUAGAAGGCUGUCUGAUCACUAUAUACACCCCUGCUCAGCCUCUGGAAGGGAAGAACUGCAGCUACUGACCCCAGUUGGAUUUCCUGGGUAAGCACAAUUAAUAGAGAGGGUACUGUAAACCAGGGUCUGCUCUGAGAGUGGGAGAAUUGUGGAAUUCCACCCCAGGAUAGGGAGAGGUGUGAGGCCUGAUGUCUGAGGGGGUGCACUCACACCAGGAAAGGUAUGGAUAGCUCUGUAACAGUCACACUUAAGUGAGCUGUAGCUCACGAAAGCUUAUGCUCAAAUAAAUUUGUUAGUCUCUAAGGUGCCACAAAUACUUCUUUUCUUUUUACUUACUAUUUGAUUGAGAGAAUCAUCUUGACUGGAGAAAGCUGCUAGUGGGUUAUUUAAUCCACUCUCACAGGGUUAUUAAUUACAGACAAAUGUCAAGUCUAUCCUUAAAUAUCUCCCAUGAAGUUGAAUUCUAAUGAUCACUUGUUCCAAUUCUUAAUUUUUCUUAUUAGGAACAACAUUAGAAUAUAUUCAGCCUAAGAAUUCCUUUCUGCAACCUAAGUCCCUGACUCAUGUCAUCAAUGACUAGUAAGAAUAAUAGAUUGCUUUAUGACAAUCUCUUAAUUAUUUGUAAGACAGUAAUUGGGCUCUUGGUUACACCAGUGUACAUUCACAAAAUUCAGUGGAGUUAGUCCAGAUUUACCAUGGCAAAGGUGACAGCAGAAUUUGGCCAGUCAUCUCUCUUCACAAUACCUUUCUCUAGAGUGAACAUGCCUACUUAUCUUAACCCUUCCUUGGUAUUAUAUUCCCGCUUGGUAUUAUACCCUUUGGUAUUAAUUUCCAAGCCUUUUCUCAUUUGUACUUGCAUUAUUAUUUGUUUGGUUAUCCAUAUGUGUGUAGCAUAGGCAAAUAUUCUAGGUGUUGUCCACACACAUAUGAAGACACAGGGCCUGAUUCUUGACGCCUUUUAAUCAGUUUUAAGAUUAUGUAAAUCUAUGGACUUCAAUGGAUUUACAUCAGUGAAAAACUUUGUAUAACAGAUUGGAGAAUCAGGCCUAGUCUCUGAGCUCUCCAUUUUGUCUGUGUCUGAACAUAGUUGCGGCCUAUUGAGUCCAAUGCUGAGUAGAGUGGAAUAGUUACCUGGUUUAUCUUAAAUGUGAUAUUUCUAUCCUAAUACAACUUGAUAUCAUCUUCAUUUUUUGUGAUGACAUUGACUCAUAUUCUACUUAACAUCCAAUUUAUAAUAGCGCUAUCUAAACCAUAUUUCUCUAUUUUUCCUUAUCAGAAUGUCACGUGGAACCUAUCAAAUACCUUAGUUAAGGCAGAUGUACUAGAUCAAGUGUAAUUUCCUUUAUGUACUAAAAAGUACAAUUAGUUUAGCAUAAUUUGUUUCUUUUGAGCAUAUGUUGCCUUCACCUUAUUUUUCACUAGGAGCAUAUAUACUGAUUGUGGGUGGGAGUUUCAAAAGUAACUUUGGAAAACAAGUCCCAUUGAAAGACACAAGGAUUUGUGCUCACAGCUUAUUCAGGCAUUUUUGAAAAUCUCACUUUAUUAGUUGUUGUAGCAAAUCUGAUUAUAUGUUAAAGUCACAUUUAUGGGUGUGUCACUUCCUUAGCCUUGGUCUACACUAGGAGUUGAGGUUGAAUUUAGCAGGGUUAAAUUGAUUUAACCCUGCACCUGUCCACACGAUGAAGCCCUUUUUUUCUACUUAAAGGGCUCUUAAAAUCGAUUUCCUUACUCCACCCCCAACAAGGGGAUUAGUGCUGAAAUUGGCCUUGCCGGGUCGAAUUUGGGGUACAGUGGAUGCAAUUAGAUGGUAUUGGACUCCGGGAGCUAUCUCAGAGUGCUCCAUUGUGACCGCUCUGGACAGCACUCUCAACUCAGAUACACUGGCCAGGUAGACAGGAAAAAGCCCGCAAACUUUUGAAUUUCAAUUUCCUGUUUGGCCAGCAUGGCAAGCUGCAGGUGAGUGCAGAGCUCAUCAGCAGAGGUGACCAUGCAGAGCUCAUCAGCAGAGGUGACCAUGAUGGAGUCCCAGAAUCGCAAAAGAGCUCCAGCAUGGACCGAACGGGAGGUACGGGAUCUGAUUGCUGUAUGGGGAGAGGAAUCCGUGCUAUCAGAACUCCGUUCCAGUUUUCGAAAUGCCAAAACCUUUGUCAAAAUCUCCCAGGGCAUGAAGGACAGAGGCCAUAACAGGGACCCAAAGCAGUGCCGCAUGAAACUUAAGGAGCUGAGGCAAGCCUACCAGAAAACCGGAGAGGCAAACAGCCGCUCCAGGUCAGAGCCCCAAACAUGCCACUUCUAUGAUGAGCUGCAUGCCAUUUUAGGGGGUUCAGCCAUCACUACCCCAGCCAUGUUGUUUGACUCCUUCAAUGGAAAUGGAGGCAACACGGAAGCAGGUUUUGGGGACGAGGAAGAUGAUGAUGAUGUUGUAGAUAGCUUACAGCAAGCAAGCAGAGAAACUGGUUUUCCUGACAGCCAGGAACUGUUUCUCAUCCUGGACCUGGAGCCAGUACCCCGCGAACUCACCCAAGGCUGCCUCCCGGACCCGCCGGGCAGAGAAGGGACCUCUGCUGCAUGUGUUUCAAGGAUCACAGGAUCUUCUCCUUCCCAGAGGCUAGUGAAGAUUAGAAGGCGAAAAAAACGCACUCGCGAUGAAAUGUUCUCUGAGCUCAUGCUGUCCUCCCACACUGACAGAGCACAGAUGAAUGCGUGGAGGCAGACAAUGUCAAAGUGCAGGAAAGCACAAAAUGACCGGGGGGGGGGGGGGCUGAAGAGAGUAAGUGGCAGGCUGAAGACAGGGCUGAAGCUCAAAGGUGGCGGCAGCGUGAUGAGAGGAGGCAGGAUUCAAUGCUGAGGCUGCUGGAGGAUCAAACUAAUAUGCUCCAGCAUAUGGUUGAGUUGCAGAAAAGGCAGCGCCCCCGCUACAGCCCCUGUGUAACCAACUGCCCUCCUCCCCAAGUUCCAUAGCCUCCUCACCCAGAUGCCCAAGGACACGGUGGGGGGCCUCCGGCCACCCAGCCACUCCACCCCAGAGGGUUGCGCAAGCAACAGAAGGCUGGCAUUCAAUAAGUUUCAAAGUUUUAAACUUUUAAAGUGCUGUGUGGCCUUGUCCUUCCUCCUCCACCACCGCUCCCGGUGCUUCUCUCCUCCACCACCCCUCCUGGGCUACCUUGGCAGUUAUCCCCCUAUUUGUGUGAUGAAUUAAUA